UACAGAGACGGCAAGCGUUGCUCGGAUUCAUUGGGCGUAAAGGGUCCGCAGGCGGUCGGGUAAGUCGGAUGUGAAAUCCCGUGGCUUAACCACGGAAAGUCAUUCGAAACUGCUCGGCUUGAGGGUUGGAGAGGAGACUGGAAUUGUCGGUGUAGCGGUGAAAUGCGUAGAGAUCGACAAGAACACCGGUGGCGAAGGCGAGUCUCUGGACAACUCCUGACGCUCAUGGACGAAAGCCAGGGGAGCAAACGGG
Molecule: ribosomal RNA, 253 nt
Filed under: uncultured bacterium
Lineage: Bacteria
Description: partial 16S ribosomal RNA
Rfam family: Bacterial small subunit ribosomal RNA
Source: RNAcentral